This 468-nucleotide ribosomal RNA is filed under the name uncultured bacterium. Its description in RNAcentral is "partial 16S ribosomal RNA". It matches the Rfam family "Bacterial small subunit ribosomal RNA", at positions 28 to 507 of the family's 1533-position model. The record is from RNAcentral.
GACGAACGCUGGCGGCGUGCUUAACACAUGCAAGUCGAACGGAAAGGCCCUGCUUUUGUGGGGUGCUCGAGUGGCGAACGGGUGAGUAACACGUGAGUAACCUGCCCUCGACUUUGGGAUAACUUCAGGAAACUGGGGCUAAUACCGGAUAGGAGCUCCUGCUGCAUGGUGGGGGUUGGAAAGUUUCGGCGGUUGGGGAUGGACUCGCGGCUUAUCAGCUUGUUGGUGGGGUAGUGGCUUACCUAGGCUUUGACGGGUAGCCGGCCUGAGAGGGUGACCGGCCACAUUGGGACUGAGAUACGGCCCAGACUCCUACGGGAGGCAGCAGUGGGGAAUAUUGCACAAUGGGCGGAAGCCUGAUGCAGCAACGCCGCGUGCGGGAUGACGGCCUUCGGGUUGUAAACCGCUUUCGCCUGUGACGAAGCGUGAGUGACGGUAAUGGGUAAAGAAGCACCGGCUAACUACGUG